UUAAUGUCCAGGAGAGUGGCCCUCCGCAUGGAGGGUUGACUAGAGAUUUAUCGGUAUGGGAUGAGCUUGCGUCCGAUUAGCUAGUUGGCGGGGCAACGGCCCACCAAGGCGACGAUCGGUAGCCGGCCUGAGAGGGUGAUCGGCCACAUUGGGACUGAGAUACGGCCCAGACUCCUACGGGAGGCAGCAGUAGGGAAUAUUGCACAAUGGGGGAAACCCUGAUGCAGCAACGCCACGUGUGGGAAGAAGCAUUUCGGUGUGUAAACCACUGUCAUGAGGGAAUAAGGCCCGCCUCCGGGCGGGAUUGAAUGUACCUUGAGAGGAAGCACCGGCAAACUUCGUGCCAGCAGCCGCGGUAAUACGAGGGGUGCAAGCGUUGUUCGGAAUUACUGGGCGUAAAGGGAGCGUAGGCGGAGAUUCAAGCGGAUUGUACAAUCCCGGGGCCCAACCCCGGCUCUGCAGUCCGAACUGGAUCUCUUGGAUAGUUCAGGGGCAGGCGGAAUUCCUGGUGUAGCGGUGGAAUGCGUAGAGAUCAGGAAGAACACCGAUGGCGAAGGCAGCCUGCUGGGGACUUAUCGACGCUGAGGCUCGAAAGUGCGGGUAGCAAACAGGAUUAGAUACCCUGGUAGUCCGCACCGUAAACAAUGCAUACUGGGUGUCCGGGGGUUCCCCCGGGUACCGUAGCCAACGCGUUNAGUAUGCCGCCUGGGGAGUACGUACGCANGUAUGAAACUCAAAGGAAUUGACGGGGGCCCGCACAAGCGGUGGAGCAUGUGGGUUUAAUUCNAAGCAACGCGCAGAAACUUACCAGGGUUUGACAUGGGGAACGCCGCGGCGAGAGAUAAUCAC
This 849-nucleotide ribosomal RNA is filed under the name uncultured Fibrobacter sp. Its description in RNAcentral is "bacterial SSU rRNA". It matches the Rfam family "Bacterial small subunit ribosomal RNA", at positions 163 to 1013 of the family's 1533-position model. Lineage: Bacteria; Pseudomonadati; Fibrobacterota; Fibrobacteria; Fibrobacterales; Fibrobacteraceae. The record is from RNAcentral.